RNAcentral lists this ribosomal RNA (567 nucleotides) under uncultured bacterium. Its description in RNAcentral is "partial 16S ribosomal RNA". It matches the Rfam family "Bacterial small subunit ribosomal RNA", at positions 355 to 914 of the family's 1533-position model. The record is from RNAcentral.
UGGGGAAUUUUGGACAAUGGGGGAAACCCUGAUCCAGCCAUCCCGCGUGUGCGAUGAAGGCCUUCGGGUUGUAAAGCACUUUUGGCAGGAAAGAAACGUCGCGGGUUAAUACCCCGCGAAACUGACGGUACCUGCAGAAUAAGCACCGGCUAACUACGUGCCAGCAGCCGCGGUAAUACGUAGGGUGCAAGCGUUAAUCGGAAUUACUGGGCGUAAAGCGUGCGCAGGCGGUUCGGAAAGAAAGAUGUGAAAUCCCAGGGCUUAACUUUGGAACUGCAUUUUUAACUACCGGGCUAGAGUGUGUCAGAGGGAGGUGGAAUUCCGCGUGUAGCAGUGAAAUGCGUAGAUAUGCGGAGGAACACCGACGGCGAAGGCAGCCUCCUGGGAUAACACUGACGCUCAUGCACGAAAGCGUGGGGAGCAAACAGGAUUAGAUACCCUGGUAGUCCACGCCCUAAACGAUGUCAACUAGCUGUUGGGGGCCUUCGGGCCUUGGUAGCGCAGCUAACGCGUGAAGUUGACCGCCUGGGGAGUACGGUCGCAAGAUUAAAACUCAAAUGAAUUGAC